UACGUAGGGUGCGAGCGUUAAUCGGAAUUACUGGGCGUAAAGCGUGCGCAGGCGGUGAUGUAAGUCCGAUGUGAAAUCCCCGGGCUUAACCUGGGAACUGCAUUGGUGACUGCAUCGCUCGAGUAUGGCAGAGGGGGGUAGAAUUCCACGUGUAGCAGUGAAAUGCGUAGAGAUGUGGAGGAAUACCGAUGGCGAAGGCAGCCCCCUGGGUCAAUACUGACGCUCAUGCACGAAAGCGUGGGGAGCAAAAGGG
Molecule: ribosomal RNA, 253 nt
Filed under: uncultured bacterium
Lineage: Bacteria
Description: partial 16S ribosomal RNA
Rfam family: Bacterial small subunit ribosomal RNA
Source: RNAcentral